GUAGAAAUUUACGUUUCAUCAGAUGUAGCCUAGUUGUUAGUGAUUUAAGACGUGUUCGACGAGGAGUUAAUAAAUGUACAGUGCGUUCUGUUUUAAACAUUCUUUUGGCUACUCGGUAAUACACUGAAAUUUGCCAUUUUUUCGUACCAAUCUGAGGGACACUUUUUCACGACACACAGGAUUGUUUGAAAGUUGAUUUUUCACUAGACGUCAUUUGAAGGUUCAGUUCCUAUCCUCAUCCCCCAGUCCUACAGUGUGCAAAAAUAGAAAGUUGAAAAAAUCUGUGCUAUCCUGCACAAUGCCAGAUUCAUUUAGGACUACUCCAUAUUAAAAUGCUCAGAGGAAUUUUGCUUAAGGAAAUUUGCAGCUGUGGACUUUAUUUAGAUGACUCUUGUAUUGGAAAUAUUUUCCUUCUUCUUGGAACAAAAAACAUAGGAUGUCUUGAUGCCAACGAAGUGUCAUUGGAAAGAUUCAGGAAAACCUAAAGCUGGAGGAUGAUACAUUUGUUUCCUUUUACUAGUGUUUUAUAACAAAUGUGGAGAUUUAUUCCACAAUCUUCAGCUUUCCAUGCAGACACCCAUCCACAGAGCCAUGGGUGAUAGAUGAUAUUCACAUCGGGCACGACUGUGUUGUAAAUUGGUAUCACUUUUACAACCAAACAGACAGCAGGUUUAGAUCACGUGUCUGACUAUAGGGGGUAUUCGUUUCCUUGACAUAAAAAGAACGGAAAUUUUUGGCAUAAGCAAGUCAUCCGCAUCCAAACAGAUCAAACGCACGAGGUAUUCCGCCUCGUCCAGCAACUUAACAUCCAGCAACGCAUCCAUCAACAGAAUGUAUUAAAGAGGAAAGUAAUGACCAAAUGCUGACUGGACGAUUUCCAUGCAAGAUGAAUGUUAAAAUCCAAGGAUAUCUGGAGAACCAUUAGCUGAAUACAAUGAAUACUAUCAGUUCUCCAGAACAAGAAGUUAAUAAUCAUACUGAAUCAAAAGAGGUACAUACUUGAACGAGAUUUUAAAACGAUAACAGCUGGAAGGACAUGUGGAAAUUUCAAAGGACGCUACAUGCACGUUACCUUUAGUCGCUGAUUCAUCUCGAAGAUAAAAUAUUAAAAUUCUUAUAAAUUGAAGUGCAUAUCUGGGCUCCCUUCUUUUCUGUGGCCCCGUUUCCCCUUGACUUGUGAUAAGCCCGUAGGGGGUCAUGCCCCUACUGUGAUCAGCAGCAAA
RNAcentral lists this long non-coding RNA (1223 nucleotides) under Daphnia magna. RNAcentral describes it as "uncharacterized LOC116918148, transcript variant X1". Lineage: Eukaryota; Metazoa; Arthropoda; Branchiopoda; Diplostraca; Daphniidae. The record is from RNAcentral.